RNAcentral lists this ribosomal RNA (419 nucleotides) under bacterium. RNAcentral's name for it is "partial 16S ribosomal RNA". It matches the Rfam family "Bacterial small subunit ribosomal RNA", at positions 355 to 776 of the family's 1533-position model. The record is from RNAcentral.
UGGGGGAUAUUGCACAAUGGGCGAAAGCCUGAUGCAGCGACGCCGCGUGGGGGAUGAAGGCCUUCGGGUUGUAAACUUCUUUUGCUCUGAACAAGGCGCACCAUGGGGUGUGUUGAGUGUAGGGGUUGAUUAGCGCCGGCUAACUACGUGCCAGCAGCCGCGGUAAUACGUAGGGCGCGAGCGUUGUCCGGAAUUAUUGGGCGUAAAGGGCUUGUAGGUGGCUGGUUGCGUCUGUCGUGAAAGCUCAUGGCUUAACUGUGGGUUUGCGGUGGGUACGGGCUGGCUUGAGUGGAGUAGGGGAGGCUGGAAUUCCUGGUGUAGCGGUGGAAUGCGCAGAUAUCAGGAGGAAUACCGGUGGCGAAGGCGGGUCUCUGGGCUGCUACUGACACUGAGGAGCGAAAGCAUGGGGAGCGAACAGG